RNAcentral lists this ribosomal RNA (508 nucleotides) under uncultured Mycobacterium sp. Its description in RNAcentral is "bacterial SSU rRNA". It matches the Rfam family "Bacterial small subunit ribosomal RNA", at positions 514 to 1019 of the family's 1533-position model. The record is from RNAcentral. Lineage: Bacteria; Bacillati; Actinomycetota; Actinomycetes; Mycobacteriales; Mycobacteriaceae.
GCCGCGGUAAUACGUAGGGUCCGAGCGUUGUCCGGAAUUACUGGGCGUAAAGAGCUCGUAGGUGGUUUGUCGCGUUGUUCGUGAAAACUCACAGCUUAACUGUGGGCGUGCGGGCGAUACGGGCAGACUUGAGUACUGCAGGGGAGACUGGAAUUCCUGGUGUAGCGGUGGAAUGCGCAGAUAUCAGGAGGAACACCGGUGGCGAAGGCGGGUCUCUGGGCAGUAACUGACGCUGAGGAGCGAAAGCGUGGGGAGCGAACAGGAUUAGAUACCCUGGUAGUCCACGCCGUAAACGGUGGGUACUAGGUGUGGGUUUCCUUCCUUGGGAUCCGUGCCGUASUAACGCAUUAAGUACCCCGCCUGGGGAGUACGGCCRCAAGGCUAAAACUCAAAGAAAUUGACGGGGGCCCGCACAAGCGGCGGAGCAUGUGGAUUAAUUCGAUGCAACGCGAAGAACCUUACCUGGGUUUGACAUGCACAGGACGACUGCAGAGAUGUGGUUUCCCUU